UUCAUUUCAUUAUUUCAUUUCACCAUUUCAUCAUUUCAUUUCAUCAUUUCAUUUCAUUUCAGUGAUACAUAUAUUUAAGUGCUAAUGUGAUGCCCAGGAGACAUCCUACUUCCCUUUGUAAAAUACCUCCUUCAACAAAAGGCAACCUCUCAUGGCUGGCUAAGUCUACAGGGAUACCAGGCUCUCCUCAACCACCCAAUUUGAUUUAGAACCUCAAACAGCACCUCAGUUUCAUGAAAACCUAACACAUAAACACAACACUUGGUUGUAAGUGAGCCAACAGCUUCUUGUCUCUUUCUCUGCUCAAGGCUUAAGGCCGUGUCUCCCCAACUACGUUCAGUGGAAGAAAAGAUCCCCUGGACAAAUAAGUUUGAGGACUGUCAUUGCAGGACUUCUCAGAACCUUUAAAACACAAAUCCUCAUCCGCAGGGAUCUUCAGGAGGGAGACGGCUGAUGCAGCACAACUUUCUUUCACAGGAGCAUCUUGCAGAAUACACUGUCCUGAGAGCACGUCUCUACAUCUAUACCUGCAUUCUGGAAUCAGGGAGAAAGCCAAAACGGAUGACAAGACACUAGGUCAGCCGCCUCCAACCCUUUGACUACAAGGACUUUUCCACCUAUCUGUGGUGGCAACCCCUUGAGGUCAAGACCCCACAAUCAGAUGAGGAUGGAGUGGCUCACCCUCAGUCAACAGGCCAGACUCAAGGGGUUCCAGGCAAGUCAGUUCUCCCUCAGGCCUUCGGUUUCCUCACCCACAAGAUGAGAGGGCUGGACCAGAUGGAAAUUCAGGGGGUAAGGUGAUGUCCGCUCGCAGCCCACCUCGCCCAUGGGCCCCUCAAGCCUCCCUGCCAGUUCCCACGACGCACCCGCCCCACAGAUCCUGCCCAAGGCUAUUAAAAAGCACCCAGGUAUGCUGGCAAAUUGACAAAGCACUCUGUGCAUAACCACGAAAAACACAUUUUCUUAAAGACCCAAGAAGACCCUCAUUUUCAGCACUGGCUGACCUUCAGGCUCAGCUCAGCAGAAAGUGAAGACUGAAGCAAAGUUUUCAACAGUCUGCACAUGUGUUAAAGGAACGCCCCAGCCCAGAGCCAUCCACAAAAACUGGAAGAAUCCGUCAGUUUGUCUUUGUCUCAGUUUUGUCAUAUAGACCUUUGUGACACACAGAUCUAUAUACAAUGGAAACUACAAAUUUCUAAUGAAAGAGCCAUGAAAGAUCACAAAAGAUCUUAAUAAAUAGAAAGACAUUUAAUGUGCAUGAUCAUAAAAUCUCAAUAUUGUCAAGAUAUAAUUUCUCCCCAAUUUGAGUUAUAGGCAAGAGAGUCACAUCAUCUAGGUGAUUGGCCAAACAUAUGUCACAAUCCCUUCCAUUGACAGCUCCCAAAAAAGGAGUUACAUCACCUAGGUGCUCAGCUCUGAGAUGUGUCACAACAUUGCCCAAUACAGGCAGGCCACAGGCGGGAGAGUCACAUUUCCUGGGUGCUUGGCCCAGUGGUAUGUCACAUUUCCUUAUGUAGGAAGGGCACACGUAGCAAGAGAGAGUCACAUUACCUAGGUACUGUGCUAGAGCUAUCAGUCUCUGUGUCGUUCAAUGUGAGAGUUAUGAUCUCUUUAGACAUCCAUGUAACAGAGCCUCAACUCCUUCAUCCUCAGAUGUAAAGGCUAGUGAAGACCAAAUAAGCCUUGAAAGGUAAUUCCCCUAAAAAGGCAGAAUGUCUUAGGCUUUGGCCUCUCCCCUUCAAGCACAAUGAGAUCAUAACCUCUCUUUUGACUUCUCACUAUGCCCAGCACUGGAACAAAGCUCCUGACUCCACACCCUCACCUUUCCACCCUUGUGCCUUCACUGGGCAGACAAGAGAUGAGAAGACCUGAACUCUGGGACAGUCUGGGGAGAAAAGAAUCCAAAAAGGGUUGAGGCGGCAAGGGCUGAGCUCCCACGGGUGCCCCGGCCCAAAGGUGCAGGUCCAGGCUGUUUUCCAGGUGGCAUUCAGUGCAGGUUCUUCAAUGCCACUGGAAGGCAUGAAAAACCCACUGUAGCUGCUGCUGCUUCCUUUUCUUAAGCUGUGAAAAUGCAAACACUUUUUCAAGGUUUUCAGAUAUGCCCAGGUACCCCCAACUGAAAAGGAGGAUAAUGGCAUUGUUCAUCAUGGCUUAUUGUCUUGCCCAGGCAGGAGCCAGCCCCUGACUCGCCAAUCCAGCUGCCCCAGGCUGGAGGUGAUCCUUUCGAGCCUCCUCCCUGCAACUCCACUCCUCUUUUUUCUCUUCCUCAACCACCGGCAUACUUUUGGUCAUCCUCCUUGUUGUCACAAUGGGGGCGUGAUGCCAUAAAGACCUGGGAACCCCAAUGAUCUCAGGUCCCGCAGGGGUCAGGUGAGCAUAUAGGAAGUCCAGAAGGACAGUCAUCUGCCACCUCCAGUUGAAAAAGAACAAAACCCUCGCACUCCAGAAAUGAGUCAAGAACCCAGCGAAGGCCACAGGUCUAGCCCACAACCACCUAGGUAUGUGGGGUCCUCCAAGGCUCACGCUUGUGUCCUGCAGGCUGGAGCCCAUGCGAGGGUCUGCAGUCUUUGUUCCGGAUGGGGAACUACUGCUUCAGCUGGUUACCCAGGUGUCCCCGAUGGGGAAAGGAAGGAAAUGGUGAGAAUCUUCAGCACAACGGAUCACAUCACCCUGGCAGAGACCAGUCCGGCCUGCGCAUGGCACCAGCAGCCGCAGGCUAGAGGCAGUCAUGUCAGGCCUCCUCCAUACAGCAUCUCUCCUGCUUUUUUUUCAAACGGUCCUAAUCACUUAAUUUGGUCAUCUUCCCUGUCACAAUGGGGCACCUGGCGCUAUAGACACUUGGGAAACACACAGAUCUGGGGUCCUACAGUGUCCAGGUGAAGACGCCGGGAGUCAGAGAGGAAAGUCUUUUGAAGCCUCCAAAAGGAAUGCACAGGACCCCACUUGAAGAGGUGGAGUGCCCAGUGGCGGAUACAGGCCCCACACAUCGCAGCAGUAAACAGGGACUCCACGGUGUCCAGCUCUCCAGCCUGGGGUUUCUCAUCACCCAGUGAUUCCAAAAGAA
Molecule: long non-coding RNA, 3064 nt
Filed under: Homo sapiens (human)
Lineage: Eukaryota; Metazoa; Chordata; Mammalia; Primates; Hominidae
Description: HSALNT0385427
Source: RNAcentral